Molecule: ribosomal RNA, 254 nt
Filed under: uncultured bacterium
Lineage: Bacteria
Description: partial 16S ribosomal RNA
Rfam family: Bacterial small subunit ribosomal RNA
Source: RNAcentral
UACGUAGGGGGCGAGCGUUGUCCGGAUUUAUUGGGCGUAAAGAGCUUGUAGGCGGUUUGGUAAGUUGGAUGUGAAAUCUCCAGGCUCAACUUGGAGGAGUCAUUCGAUACUGCCAUGACUAGAGUUCGGUAGGGGAGUGUGGAAUUCCUGGUGGAGCGGUGAAAUGCGCAGAUAUCAGGAGGAACACCCGUAGCGAAGGCGGCACUCUGGGCCGGAACUGACGCUGAGGAGCGAAAGCGUGGGGAGCGAACAGG